Non-coding RNA from Oryza sativa Japonica Group (Japanese rice), 1742 nucleotides. The record is from RefSeq and is a predicted model, not a curated record. NCBI's taxonomy places the organism in Eukaryota, Viridiplantae, Streptophyta, Magnoliopsida, Poales, Poaceae.
CUUUUUCAUACAACUCUCUCUCUCUCUCUCUCUCUCUCUCUCUCUUGCCAUGCCCGGCCGUCGCCGUCGUCGGUCGAUCUCCUCCCCUAUAGCUUCCCUCCUAGUUUCCUUGCAACAUCGGCUUCGCCUCGCUCCGGCGAGCCCAUUUUUCCUGUUUCCCCCUUCUCCCCCACCCCAUAGCAACCACCACUGCCACCUCUCUUUGCCGCCGAAGACAAGCUCUUGACUGCGCCGUUCCGGCCAACUCCUUCACUCUCUCCAACAGCCACCGCCCUCCCCGGGUGUGUCUUGCUCGGGAACAUGUGUGGCCGCUGACGUCGCCGCCUUCCAACCGCCGGAAAACCGGCGCCCACUCUCUCCCUCUCCUCUGUAACCGGCAGGAAGAAGGAGAAGAAGAGAGGAAGAAGAAGACGAGAGAAGGAGAGAGAAAAAGAAAAGAAAAAGGAAAAGCAUUGACAGUAGAGUCUAUUUUGGAUGGCAGCCUGUGAUAUUUCGAGAAUCGGAUAAUCAGGUUGCCUAUCUCGGAUUUAUUUGCGUUGGAGCAAGGCAAGUUAUUAUUCCUCCCCUUGAACAUAAUUACCCUAUAUUCUAUAUUUCUAUUCUAUGCAUUAGCCAUUCAUGAUUUUGAAUGCAUAACCUAAACAUAUAGCAAACCAGAUAUGCUAACUUUUGCUCAGCCCUGCCUAGUUAGACUGCAUAAAAAUAUAAUGAAUUUAGAUUGGGACAGUACGUAAGAUUUGGUUGAUUUCCGGGUGGCUAGUACUGUCUCAGUAGAUAUAAGUUUACCAAAUACUUAUGUCAAACGAACGAGUACGACCGCAGCUUCUAGAAUGGGGACAGACCUAGAUAUUAUGUUAAUUAACAAUGUGGUACCUCUGUACAGUGGUUCCUUUUGUAAGUCCUCGCGCAGGAGGCAAUCUUAUGCCGAGCAGGGCAUCUUAUGAUAUUUACCGAGGCGCAGGUAAAUAUACUAAUUUUCGCUCAUGAGCUGUGUGUGAUUUUAUGGAAACCUGGUUGAGAUGACAUGGGGUCUCUCAUCCAGUUCUCUCUAAAAACCCCGGGAACGCCAGAACUCCUCUCGCCGCUGAUAACAUUACGUUCAGAGCGCAUGGGGAGUAGAGUUCAUGGAAUAGGUGCCACUAUUGUUAAUAACCUAAUACUGGGCCAUGACUAAGCUAAUGAAUAUUGGCAAGUCGUGGACUGUGGGUAAAGCGUACAUCUACUGCAGUAGAAUAUUUAUGAAACUAUUCGAAUAGCCGUGCUCACGAAUUUGAGCAUCGGGACUCAUAUGGUAUUUGGUUAGAAACUUAAUUCCAGAUUUUAUUAAAUACUGUUGCAUCAAACACAUUGCAGGAUUUCUCCUUCUAUAUUCUCUGCUUUCUGCAAGUAAUCAUAGCUCUACUCAAAUACUACUAAUUCAUACAUUCAUAUUGAAUAUAAUAGCUUGCUGAGUACAUUGUACUCACCCUUGCUUCAACCCCCUUUUCAUAGUCAUUUUGGAGUUCUUAUCGAAGCCGGGAAUUCAAUCACAUAAGUUAGUUCCCUUUAAACCUAGUCUUGAAAUCUAGUAUUGUUAGAUGGUUUAACUCUAUAGCAAAACAUUAGAGUUGAUUUAUUCUAUAGCUUAUGCUAUAUUAGUUAGCCACAAGUUUGUAAAUACCCAUGUAUCUUAUAAUAAUAUCUCCUCUAGAGCCUUGUUCAAAUGUAUGCAAUGAAGAUCCAGAUUGUUGAACCUGUAUCAA